This is a small nuclear RNA of Capra hircus (goat), 135 nucleotides long. Its record names the gene U4. It matches the Rfam family "U4 spliceosomal RNA". Rfam says of the family: U4 small nuclear RNA (U4 snRNA) is a component of the major U2-dependent spliceosome. The structure of U4 snRNA from yeast and human has been reported. U4 snRNA presents a k-turn RNA motif in the 5p-SL related to recognition of Snu13 protein. Lineage: Eukaryota; Metazoa; Chordata; Mammalia; Artiodactyla; Bovidae. The record is from Ensembl.
GAGUUUGCUCAGUGUCAGUACCAUAGCCAAUGAGGUUUAUCCAAGGCAUGAUUAUUGUUAAUUGAAAAUGUUAAUAUUUGAGAAUUCUGGGUAAAAGCUAUACUCUUUGGUUAUUCUUGAAAUAUUUUUGCAAAU